AAGUCGUAACAAGGUUUCCGUAGGUGAACCUGCGGAAGGAUCAUUAACACGUAUCCAAACGUUAAAACCCCCCCCGUGAACCUUCAUCCUGUUGUAACCCGCGUAGUUCGCAAUCUCUGAUAAAUCAUAGCACAUUAAACUGCUACAGGAAUCGUAGAGGCGCUAUCCUUGCACAAUCAAUGACACUUUCCGACACUGACUGCUUGGAGAAAGAUUGCCUAUAGAACUACCGCUCGAUUGUAACUGUUCCAAUGUUCGCACGUAAUACAUUGGGUAAAAAAACCGAACAACUGUUAACAAUGGAUAUCUUGGUUCUC
This 317-nucleotide unclassified non-coding RNA is filed under the name fungal sp. RNAcentral describes it as "partial internal transcribed spacer region". The stretch from base 1 to 46 matches the Rfam family "Eukaryotic small subunit ribosomal RNA", at positions 1786 to 1831 of the family's 1831-position model. Lineage: Eukaryota; Fungi. The record is from RNAcentral.